GACGAACGCUGGCGGCGUGCUUAACACAUGCAAGUCGAACGGAAAGGCCCUGCUUUUGUGGGGUGCUCGAGUGGCGAACGGGUGAGUAACACGUGAGUAACCUGCCCUUGACUUUGGGAUAACUUCAGGAAACUGGGGCUAAUACCGGAUAGGAGCUCCUGCUGCAUGGUGGGGGUUGGAAAGUUUCGGCGGUGUGGGAUGGACUCGCGGCUUAUCAGCUUGUUGGUGGGGUAGUGGCUUACCAAGGCUUUGACGGGUAGCCGGCCUGAGAGGGUGACCGGCCACAUUGGGACUGAGAUACGGCCCAGACUCCUACGGGAGGCAGCAGUGGGGAAUAUUGCACAAUGGGCGGAAGCCUGAUGCAGCAACGCCGCGUGCGGGAUGACGGCCUUCGGGUUGUAAACCGCUUUCGCCUGUGACGAAGCGUGAGUGACGGUAAUUGGUUAAGAAGCACCGGCUAACUACGUG
RNAcentral lists this ribosomal RNA (468 nucleotides) under uncultured bacterium. RNAcentral's name for it is "partial 16S ribosomal RNA". It matches the Rfam family "Bacterial small subunit ribosomal RNA", at positions 28 to 507 of the family's 1533-position model. The record is from RNAcentral.